RNAcentral lists this ribosomal RNA (433 nucleotides) under uncultured bacterium. Its description in RNAcentral is "partial 16S ribosomal RNA". It matches the Rfam family "Bacterial small subunit ribosomal RNA", at positions 29 to 507 of the family's 1533-position model. The record is from RNAcentral.
AACGAACGCUGGCGGCAUGCCUAACACAUGCAAGUCGAACGAGACCUUCGGGUCUAGUGGCGCACGGGUGCGUAACGCGUGGGAACCUGCCCUUAGGUUCGGAAUAACUCCCCGAAAGGGGUGCUAAUACCGGAUAAUGUCUUCGGACCAAAGAUUUAUCACCUUUGGAUGGGCCCGCGUUGGAUUAGCUAGUUGGUAGGGUAAAAGCCUACCAAGGCGACGAUCCAUAGCUGGUCUGAGAGGAUGAUCAGCCACACUGGGACUGAGACACGGCCCAGACUCCUACGGGAGGCAGCAGUGGGGAAUAUUGGACAAUGGGCGAAAGCCUGAUCCAGCAAGGCCGCGUGAGUGAUGAAGGCCUUAGGGUUGUAAAGCUCUUUUACCCGGGAUGAUAAUGACAGUACCGGGAGAAUAAGCUCCGGCUAACUCCGUG